UACAGAGGUCCCGAGCGUUAGGCGGAAUCACUGGGCUUAAAGCGUGUGUAGGUGGAUCGUUAAGUACCUUGUGAAAUCCCACGGCUUAACCGUGGAACUGCUUGGUAUACUGGCGGUCUUGAGCCACUUAGGGGCUACCGGAACAAAUGGUGGAGCGGUGAAAUGCGUAGAUAUCAUUUGGAACGCCAAUGGUGAAAACAGGUAGCUGGGAGUGUGCUGACACUGAGACACGAAAGCCAGGGGAGCAAACGGG
Molecule: ribosomal RNA, 253 nt
Filed under: uncultured bacterium
Lineage: Bacteria
Description: partial 16S ribosomal RNA
Rfam family: Bacterial small subunit ribosomal RNA
Source: RNAcentral